RNAcentral lists this ribosomal RNA (376 nucleotides) under uncultured bacterium. RNAcentral's name for it is "bacterial SSU rRNA". It matches the Rfam family "Bacterial small subunit ribosomal RNA", at positions 30 to 410 of the family's 1533-position model. The record is from RNAcentral.
AUUGAACGCUGGCGGAAUGCUUUACACAUGCAAGUCGAACGGUAGAGGGGGCAACCCCUUGAGAGUGGCGAACGGGUGAGUAAUAUAUCGGAACGUGCCCAGUCGUGGGGGAUAACGUAGCGAAAGUUACGCUAAUACCGCAUACGAUCUAUGGAUGAAAGCGGGGGACCGUAAGGCCUCGCGCGAUUGGAGCGGCCGAUAUCAGAUUAGGUAGUUGGUGGGGUAAAGGCUCACCAAGCCAACGAUCUGUAGCUGGUCUGAGAGGACGACCAGCCACACUGGAACUGAGACACGGUCCAGACUCCUACGGGAGGCAGCAGUGGGGAAUUUUGGACAAUGGGGGCAACCCUGAUCCAGCCAUUCCGCGUGAGUGAAG